UUUCUAGGUCAUUUACAAUUUACAAACCAGAUUCCAGUAGCAUUAAAUAUGGCAGAAAACAUUGAAGGAGAAGACCUUUAUCUGAAGAAACAGAUGAAGUCCGAUGGGCAUGGCCAGCAUUUUCCUACGAAGAAAACAAAUCAGGUUGCAAUGUAAUGUGCAGAGGUCCUCUUUGUCCCUGCAGCGUGUGGAGGUGGUUGGCCUCGGCCAGGUUAAGUUGUCGAUGCCGGUGAACCUCUGUAUAUGCACUCCGUUCCUAGAGUUGGUGUUCCUCAUCCCCUUAUCUGAAAAUUCAUUUAGAAUAAGGCCACUUGCGCAUCCAGUGAAGGGUUGUGAUGCCGCGGUCUGUGCAACAUUGUCAUUGUCGCCAGAGGCAUACAAGAGAAGUCCAGUUCCAAGCCGGCAUCAUGGCCUCUACUUCCAAUAGAUCCUUUUCAGGCCUAGAUUCAUUGACGCUGGAGGCUCGGUGUCACAUCUGGUGGCCAAGUAGGAAAUCAAAGCUACACAUACUGAUAAUGGAUAUGAAUGGAGAGUAUCCUCGCCAACCAGUUGUCACAGUACUCCCAGGGACGUGUUUCAAAAGGAUGGUGUGUACUGAAUAUGAGUUCAACACACUAAGGUGUACUUAUCAGUUCGGUAAGGAACUUCAUGAAUCAUGGAUGUUCUCUAUAUAGGCUUUGUUGAUGUUGCUUUUAUAUAAAUUUGAUGCUUAAUGUAUGUCUUUCAAUAUUCUUUUACCCAUGCGUGUUUGUGUAUCUGUACCGAAAGUUGUUGUGUGGGUACCUCCAAAGGAUUUCAUAUUGUGCUUUGAAUUUUUGAUGUUUUGGUUCAGUAGGGAUAAAAAAUAAAUAUGAUUGGGUGUUUGAUAAUUUAACUUAAAACAGUUAUGUGGUGGUUCUAUUGUGCUUGCAGUUCCUCGUUUGCUUUUAUUUUCCUGUUUGCUGCAACUUGCUAUAUGAAAAGUUUGUUGCUACUAAAGAAAUAUAAAUGAAAGGCAGUUUAGUGCUAUUUCUAUACGGAAAGUUUGUUAUGACUGAUUUGUUUCAGUGGUUUGCUAAAUAGCUUGUUUGGUUAUUCACAAAACAGAGACAUAUGAACAUUUUCCCAUAAUGUGCUUGGUAUUUCAAUCCACCCAGAACUAAUGUAUGUGUCAUGAGCCUGUAAAUAGCUUCGCAAGGUGUACUUUGCUUAUGGUGCUUAUAAAAUAUAGAAAGUAAUAUGUUAGAUAGCAUAGGAAAACUGAAAUUCCUCCCAUGGAUAACAUCCAACUAUUUUAUUUUUGCAAUUGAUAUUGAUUUUGAACUCUGAAUUUGAAAUCUACAUGUUUACAUCUUUGCCCACAUGGCUUUUUGUAGUCUUGCAUGUCUGCUGGUUCAUGUUGUCCUCAUAGAGGGUUUGCUUUCAAGCCGACUUCAGUUAUGAGAAAAUGGCAGCUUAUCUGGAGUUAAUAGGAUGACAGUUCUGUUUAAUACUUUAAUGUACAGACCCUGUUUUUUUCUCUCGCUUCCACAUGUCAACUAAUAGUUGUCAUACUUAUGCGGUAAUAUUAAGUGGAUCACUAUUUAUGCUUUUAACAGGAUUGGUAGCCCUGGACACUGCUGUAUACUGUUCGCCCUGUUUUUUGAUACCAAAACUGUUACUUAUUCCAUCAUUGUAGAUUUUUGUUCUUUGUACAUGUCCUAAAACUGUAGUGGAAUUUUGUUAAAAUGGGUUUGGCUUGGUUUCAUUAUAUGAAGCACUAACUCGUGAGAUUUUACUCAAAUAUUCUUUGGCUCUGCAGUUCUUUCUAUGAAGCAUGUCACAUUGUCUGCAAGCUCACGAGGUACAUCUCCUCCUACUUCAUCUAAGGUUGUUAGGUUGUACUCCCUGCUCCUUAUUUACUCAUUUGUUGACUAUUUAUCUCCCGGACCUUCACUGUCAAUAUUGAGGCUGCAUGCAACAGUGGCAUAGAUGUGCCUUCGACUUCUUGCGCAAAAGUUGGUCAUAUAUUUCUAAAGUUUUGGGUAACUCAUAUUUUCUCACAUUCAACCUGUUGAAUCAAAUGAGAGUAGCCUGCAUGUAUAGUUCUUAGUCUUUCUAAAAUUAUCCAAUUCUCUAAUGGGGCCCUAAUAACUAGGUUGUUUUCAGAGAUAUGUACAGUGGGACCGGUGUCGGUUGGUGUCAGCUGAAACACAUGAUUAUUCACAUUAUUUUUAGCAGCUCUUAUAGUGGUACUUGCGGAUUAAUAUGGUCGGUCAUCAUA
Long non-coding RNA from Lolium rigidum, 2242 nucleotides. RefSeq lists it as uncharacterized. The transcript is spliced from 6 exons. Lineage: Eukaryota; Viridiplantae; Streptophyta; Magnoliopsida; Poales; Poaceae. The record is from RefSeq and is a predicted model, not a curated record.